This 749-nucleotide ribosomal RNA is filed under the name uncultured Capnocytophaga sp. Its description in RNAcentral is "bacterial SSU rRNA". It matches the Rfam family "Bacterial small subunit ribosomal RNA", at positions 28 to 776 of the family's 1533-position model. Lineage: Bacteria; Pseudomonadati; Bacteroidota; Flavobacteriia; Flavobacteriales; Flavobacteriaceae. The record is from RNAcentral.
GAUGAACGCUAGCGGCAGGCCUAACACAUGCAAGUCGAGGGAGAGGUUACCUUCGGGUAACCAAAACCGGCGCACGGGUGCGUAACGCGUAUACAAUCUGCCUUUCACAUAGGGAUAGCCCGAAGAAAUUUGGAUUAAUACCUAAUGGUAUAUAAGAGCGGCAUCGUUUUUAUAUUAAAGCUACGGUGGUGAAAGAUGAGUAUGCGUUCUAUUAGCUAGUUGGAGAGGUAACGGCUCCCCAAGGCGACGAUAGAUAGGGGUUCUGAGAGGGAUGUCCCCCACACUGGUACUGAGAUACGGACCAGACUCCUACGGGAGGCAGCAGUGAGGAAUAUUGGACAAUGGUCGGAAGACUGAUCCAGCCAUGCCGCGUGCAGGAUGAAGGUCCUAUGGAUUGUAAACUGCUUUUGUAAGGGAAGAAUAAGGAGUACGUGUACUUUGAUGACGGUACCUUACGAAUAAGCAUCGGCUAACUCCGUGCCAGCAGCCGCGGUAAUACGGAGGAUGCGAGCGUUAUCCGGAAUCAUUGGGUUUAAAGGGUCCGUAGGCGGGCUGAUAAGUCAGAGGUGAAAGCGCUUAGCUCAACUAAGCAACUGCCUUUGAAACUGUCAGUCUUGAAUGAUUGUGAAGUAGUUGGAAUGUGUAGUGUAGCGGUGAAAUGCUUAGAUAUUACACAGAACACCGAUCGCGAAGGCAUAUUACUAACAAUUUAUUGACGCUGAUGGACGAAAGCGUGGGGAGCGAACAGG